This 501-nucleotide ribosomal RNA is filed under the name uncultured bacterium. Its description in RNAcentral is "partial 16S ribosomal RNA". It matches the Rfam family "Bacterial small subunit ribosomal RNA", at positions 30 to 523 of the family's 1533-position model. The record is from RNAcentral.
AUUAAACGCUGGCGGCAGGCUUAACACAUGCAAGUCGAGCGGGGAAAGGUAGCUUGCAACCUGACCUAGCGGCGGACGGGUGAGUAAUGCUUAGGAAUCUGCCUAUUAGUGGGGGACAACAUUCCGAAAGGAAUGCUAAUACCGCAUACGCCCUACGGGGGAAAGCAGGGGAUCUUCGGACCUUGCGCUAAUAGAUGAGCCUAAGUCAGAUUAGCUAGUUGGUGGGGUAAAGGCCUACCAAGGCGACGAUCUGUAGCGGGUCUGAGAGGAUGAUCCGCCACACUGGGACGGAGACACGGCCCAGACUCCUACGGGAGGCAGCAGUGGGGAAUAUUGGACAAUGGGCGAAAGCCUGAUCCAGCCAUGCCGCGUGUGUGAAGAAGGCCUUUUGGUUGUAAAGCACUUUAAGCGAGGAGGAGGCUACUUGGAUUAAUACUCUAGGAUAGUGGACGUUACUCGCAGAAUAAGCACCGGCUAACUCUGUGCCAGCAGCCGCCGUAA